GACGAACGCUGGCGGCGUGCUUAACACAUGCAAGUCGAACGGAAAGGCCCUGCUUUUGUGGGGUGCUCGAGUGGCGAACGGGUGAGUAACACGUGAGUAACCUGCCCUUGACUUUGGGAUAACUUCAGGAAACUGGGGCUAAUACCGGAUAGGAGCUCCUGCUGCAUGGUGGGGGUUGGAAAGUUUCGGCGGUUGGGGAUGGACUCGCGGCUUAUCAGCUUGUUGGUGGGGUAGUGGCUUACCAAGGCUUUGACGGGUAGCCGGCCUGAGAGGGUGACCGGCCACAUUGGGACUGAGAUACGGCCCAGACUCCUACGGGAGGCAGCAGUGGGGAAUAUCGCACAAUGGGCGGAAGCCUGAUGCAGCAACGCCGCGUGCGGGAUGACGGCCUUCGGGUUGUAAACCGCUUUCGACUGUGACGAAGCGUGAGUGACGGUAAUGGGUAAAGAAGCACCGGCUAACUACGUG
Molecule: ribosomal RNA, 468 nt
Filed under: uncultured bacterium
Lineage: Bacteria
Description: partial 16S ribosomal RNA
Rfam family: Bacterial small subunit ribosomal RNA
Source: RNAcentral